GAGAGAGAGAAGAAGAAGAAGAAGAAAGAGGGAAAAUGGCGGGAGCCUUGGCUUCGCCAGAAGCCCUAAACCCUAGCCUCAUCAUCAAGGCCCUUCCGGUGGCCAUGGCGCUCGCCCUCUCUACUGUGACUUCUCGUCCUUAUGCCCAAUUUGUUCUUGCGAUUGCUCCUCCCAGGUUCCCAGCUACUCCUCUCACUCCCUCAAGAAUUGGGGAAUGUCUCAUUGUCAGAUUGUGUGAAACGUGAUCCCGACGUCAAUGAAAAAAUGGAGAAGAGUUUCACUGAACUCCACAUGGAAGAACUGAUGCUAAGAGAAGCAGAAACAAUAGACGAUCAUCGUCGUGCCGACUGCUGAGUUGAUGCUACUUGAGGCUAAAAAGAUGACAUCUCAGGGAUGGAUACAUCAUACAUGUGAUGAAGCCAGGGAAAGAGAUGAAGGCACAUUACUGGAACAAGAGAAACUUACUGCGUUAUGGCAAAUGCGGGCUAAACAAAGAGGAUGGAAAACAAUCUUGAGAAGUUGUCCUCAAUCUCAGGUCCAAACACAAUACAAAAGUACUAUAAAAGAAGAGCAUCUGGAACCAGCGUGAGCUUUUGUGGGAUGCGCCGAGAGAGAGAGAGAGAGAGAGAGAGAGAGAAGGGAAGAGGUUCUUGAAGUGGCGAACGCGGGGGGUGAGACGUGUGGAAACGAAAACCAAGCGAUAUCUGAUGGAAUUCGAUGUAUAAUCAUCCAUCAUAUGAUGCGAUUCUUAUUAUAGUUUUCAAUCUGAAUCUCAUUCCCCCACCAUUUGUCCGCCGCUCGAUCCGUGCUCUUCAUCUCACUUUCUUUCUUCUACUAGAUCUCUUUUUCUUUCUCCUCCUUCGCUUGGUGCUCCCACAUGGCCUUGUGAUUGUACCCAGCGGCGCCUUAGGGCUAAUUUUGCCGCUCUGAAGGCCAUUAUUGAUUUUUUUUUCUUUUUUAAUUUCGAUUUGAGCGAUAUUCUUCGUACUCUAUUUUGAUGGCUAGGAACUGGGAUUGAAGAAUCAGGUUUUUCCAUGAGUUCUUCUAUAUAUUAGUCUUUAGACAAAAAAAAAAAAACUCUUUUGGGGUUUUCCAUCGGUCUUUCGUUCCAAUCGUAUUCUAAUUUUCUGCUUUCUUAUUUUUAUGGAAUAUAAGAAUUAUUAUUUUUUUAAUGACAAUAUGUUCCGGAAAACAAAGUUUUCACUUUUCCCCCCAAA
Dioscorea cayenensis subsp. rotundata (Guinea yam) is the source of this 1217-nucleotide long non-coding RNA. RefSeq lists it as uncharacterized. Lineage: Eukaryota; Viridiplantae; Streptophyta; Magnoliopsida; Dioscoreales; Dioscoreaceae. The transcript is spliced from 4 exons. The record is from RefSeq and is a predicted model, not a curated record.